CGAACACCUGCUACUUCCUACCCUCUUGUCACUUCCUUCCCACCCCUGAGGCAGCCAGACCUGCUCCCCAUUCCGAGAUCCCCACAGCCCCUCGGGGGCUCCCAUCGGAUGCCAUCUUCCCGGCAGAAUUCAGAUGAUGCCAACAGUGUGGCGAGCUACGAGAACCAGGGUGGGUCUGGGGUCUAGGGUAGUGGGUGGGGUGGGGAGGCUGGAGCUGUCCAGGUCAUGUUGACUCCCCUUCCUCAUAGAGCCAGCCCGUAAGAACGUGGAUGAAGAUGAGGAUGAAGAUGACUAUCCUGAGGGCUACCUGUGAGUGGGGAGGUGGGAGCUCUGUGACCUCCCAGGAGGUGGAAGAUGAAGAAGAGGAGGAUGUGGAUGGAGAGGAAGCUCCUGACUAUGAGAACCUGCAGGAACUUAACUGAAAGCCUGCUGCAGCUAUCAGUCCUGGAACUGGACUUGCUGGGGGUGUCGCUAAGGGAGUCCCAUUUGACCUCUGCCUUGCCUACAGCCUGAGAAUCUCCCCUAACUUAUUGUGACUUUGGAGCUCAGUCUGUGUCCCCAGUAUUCUGCACCUUCUGAUGAAGCCUGAGAAUGAAUCUAGUUCCAGCCGGACUAUGUCAUAGAAUAAAGGCCACGUGGCCC
This 642-nucleotide long non-coding RNA is filed under the name Rattus norvegicus (Norway rat). RNAcentral's name for it is "long non-coding RNA NONRATT003151". Lineage: Eukaryota; Metazoa; Chordata; Mammalia; Rodentia; Muridae. The record is from RNAcentral.